Molecule: ribosomal RNA, 802 nt
Filed under: Cadophora sp.
Lineage: Eukaryota; Fungi; Ascomycota; Leotiomycetes; Helotiales; Ploettnerulaceae
Description: partial large subunit ribosomal RNA
Rfam family: Eukaryotic large subunit ribosomal RNA
Source: RNAcentral
AGUGAAGCGGUAACAGCUCAAAUUUGAAAGCUAGCUCUUUUAGGGUUCGCAUUGUAAUUUGUAGAAGAUGCUUCGGGUGUGGCCCCGGUCUAAGUUCCUUGGAACAGGACGUCAUAGAGGGUGAGAAUCCCGUAUGUGACUGGGUGCUUUCGCUCAUGUGAAGCUCUUUCGACGAGUCGAGUUGUUUGGGAAUGCAGCUCAAAAUGGGUGGUAAAUUUCAUCUAAAGCUAAAUAUUGGCCAGAGACCGAUAGCGCACAAGUAGAGUGAUCGAAAGAUGAAAAGCACUUUGGAAAGAGAGUUAAACAGUACGUGAAAUUGUUGAAAGGGAAGCGCUUGCAACCAGACUUGCGCGCUGAUGAUCAUCCGGGCUUCUGCCCGGUGCACUCGUCUGCGCUCAGGCCAGCAUCGGUUUCGGUGGUGGGAUAAAGGCCUUGGGAAUGUAGCUUCUUUCGGGGAGUGUUAUAGCCCUCGGUGCAAUGCCGCCUACCGGGACCGAGGACCGCGCUUCGGCUAGGAUGCUGGCGUAAUGGUUGUAAGCGACCCGUCUUGAAACACGGACCAAGGAGUCUAACAUCUAUGCGAGUGUUUGGGUGUCAAACCCAUACGCGUAAUGAAAGUGAACGGAGGUGAGAACCCUUAAGGGUGCAUCAUCGACCGAUCCUGAUGUCUUCGGAUGGAUUUGAGUAAGAGCAUAGCUGUUGGGACCCGAAAGAUGGUGAACUAUGCGUGAAUAGGGUGAAGCCAGAGGAAACUCUGGUGGAGGCUCGCAGCGGUUCUGACGUGCAAAUCGAUCGUCAAAUU